This 497-nucleotide ribosomal RNA is filed under the name uncultured bacterium. Its description in RNAcentral is "partial 16S ribosomal RNA". It matches the Rfam family "Bacterial small subunit ribosomal RNA", at positions 28 to 507 of the family's 1533-position model. The record is from RNAcentral.
GAUGAACGCUGGCGGCGUGCCUAAUACAUGCAAGUCGAGCGAACAGACGAGGCGCUUGCUCCUCUGACGUUAGCGGCUGACGUGUGAGUAACACGUUUAUAACCUACCUAUUAGACUUGUAUAACUUCGUGAAACCGUAGCUACUACCUGAUAACAUUUUUAACCGCAUUUUUCUACAUUGAAAGACGUUCUUUCUGUCACUUAUAUAUGUUUCCGCGCCGCAUUAGCUUGUUGGUAAGGUAACUGCUUACCAAGGCAACGAUUCGUAGCCGACCUGAGAGGGGGAUCGGAAAAACUGGAACGGAGACACGGUACAGAGUACUACGGGAGGAAGCAGUAGGGAAUAUGACGAAAUGGGCGAAAGAAUGACGGAGCAAGGCCGCGUGAGUGAAGAAGGACUUAGGAUCGUAAAAAUAUGUUAUUAGGGAAGAAAAAAUGUGUAAGAAAAUAUGCACGGAUUGAAGGUAACUAAUAAGAAAGCAACGGCUAACUACGUG